UAGGGGGAGGUGGGGGAGCCAGCGCAGAGAUGGUAGUAGAUGCAGUACGAUGAUAAGUGGUGAGGUCUGGUCACAGUGGUGAGUUUCAAGGGUUUGCUGCCUUUAUUCCUAAAAUGGUUUAUUCAGUGCCAAAGUUGUAAGUACACUUCUGACACGAGCUGUGUUUAACAGUGGCUCCUGCCAUUCCUGAAGAUUCCAGCAUGGCUUUCACGGUGGAUGGCAGCCAGCCCAGUGCCCUCUCCACUUCCAGGCUCUGUGCUUGGAACCCAGAAGUUAAACUGAGAAAAGACAGACUAACAGCUUAUGCCCUGUUUCAUAAAUGUUUGAAUGACAUGUGGGAGUUUAGAAAGAAAUGUUACCCAAGGGGGGCAGUGAGAACUGGGGACGUAAUACCAUCAUGGGCUGGACAAAGGAAAGGUGUCUGGGGCGAGUAGGUCAGGAAAGCCCAGUGAAUGAGGGUGUUUAGGGAAGUUUGUGAUGUGGAUUCAAGUUGGUGAUUUUUUUUUUAAUUGAUGAGCAUUAUCAAGCAGCCUCCUCUUCCACAUAUGGAAGAAGAGGUCCCUACAAGCAGGCAUUUCCUUUAUCAAUGGAGAUUUCCUUUACGGAAGGGAUGCUUGAGUCCUGUUCUCAAGUUUCCUGAGUCUGCUGGUUCUUAGCGGCCUUCUGCUCAGAAAUAUCCUUAACACCAAACAGGCACAUUUUGGGUUGGUGAGUUCUGGUUUCUUCAUUUGAAACUCAGAGGUUCUCCCUUAAAAGAAAAAUGGGGAAUCCCUAUGAGAGACCAGGAGUCACCUGACCCCCUCGGUCUGGGAUCAUUGAGACCUGGCCCAACUUGGAUAGGAUCCAGGAGGGCACAGCUUCCAGGCAGUACUCCAUUGGCUGUAGUACUGAAGGGGGCCCAGUGAGGUGGGUGGUUGAGAGGGGCACAGGCCCGCCCCUGUUCUCCUAAUAAGGACAUCAGAGUUGUCCCUGCAAUGGGGCUGACCACACUCCCCCUUGGGGCCCCUGUGAUGCAGCCAUCCCAUGCUGCAGAGGCCUGAGAGUGGGGUUUUGGAGUCCGAACCCUGGCCCCAAUCCACCAGCAUUUCAGAAACUUGCAUGUGGGCUGUGCGGGCCAUCCUAGCUAGAUGGCACUGGGAUGGAAUCACUUCUGUGUGUGCCAUGUGGCAGCGUCCAGCUCCAGCCCCCUGGACACUUGCUGCCUGAAUGUCACACACCUCCCUGGUGGCCUGGGGUCCCACGCUUAUGCCCAGGGGGACAUUUAUGAGACAGGGCAUAAGCUGAGAGAGCCAUGGGACAGGCUAUGAGAGAAGAUGGAGGCAGAGGGUGCUAGUCGAAUAUCUCAUAGAUGGGGAGAGGGUUGGUUGGUCUCUGUUGCUGCUGAGACAGAACAAGAACAAAGGGGGGUUGACUCUUGGUGUACUCGAUGCUGUGCAGGGCAUGAAAGAUCUUCCUCUACUCUCUUAUGUUCUGUACCCAGGAUCUGCAAAUUAAACUGACAACAGAUUAACAGGAGCAAAAGGUUUAUUAUGUCUGUGUACAGAGGCCUUCACAGAAAAGAAGUGGAGAUGCAAAGAGAUAGUUAGAUAGGGUUUACGUGCCGUGUGACAAAGGGUGAUCAAUUUCUGGAGAAGAGACAAGACAAAGGAAAGCAGCUUUCAGUUUCUUGGGGCAGUAAGUUGUGGGAAGGUAAAUAAACAGGGGGACAUAAUGGAAGACAGAGCUGAUUCAGUGAGGUUUGUUACACAGACUGAAGUUGGUACCUUCUCAGAUGAUAAGAUCCUUUCUCCCCUUCCUGGUACAGGAGAGGGAGGGGACCAACCUCACAAAGGAUCAGGCAGGUGGAGGGGGGCAGUUUUUCCUUUUGCUGCUUCUCAAGCCUUCAACUCAAAGUAACGCUUGGGCCAAUGCGGCAUAUUUGGGGUGGCAAAUUCUGAACCCUCUCUGCCUCUACACGAAGAGGUUCUAACAGCUGGAGAUGGUACCGGUGGAUGGACCCCCUCCAGCCUAGAAGGAAUACCUCCCCACCAGAGGAGAGGGUCCAGAAUGUGGGGCGGAUGGCCAACACGCUGCGUGGUUAACAUGGGCCCUGAGUGCCUCACAUGCUUUAACUUGCGGGAGCCUCCCUAUGAUCUGUGAGAUGGGCCCUAUUACCAAUCCCAUUUUACAGGUGAGAAACCAAGGCACAGGCAGAUGGCUCACUGGUGGUGGAGCUCAAGUACAAACCCAGCUCUCCACCACCUCUCCACAGACGAUGGUGUCUGUGUUUCCUGGGGCCGCUGUAACAAACACCACGGAUGAGGUGGUUAAACAAUAGACAUGUAUUGACUCACAGGUUCCAAAGGCUGGAGCUCCGAGUUCAACGUGUUGGCAGGGUUGGUUUCUCUGUGGCCUCCCUCUUUGGCAUGGAGACAGUCAUCUUCCUGCUGCGUCCUCUUUCAAACAGAACCAGAGCCAGAUGGUCUUUAAAGCAGCCCACACAGAUUUUAUUCAGCAGCUAUUGCAAUGGAGGAAAAAAACCUCUGUAGAGAGCCAGGCUCCAUCUAGAAUGCAGAGUGGGCAAGGGGUUUACAGCCAGCGAGCAGAAGGAGGGAGCAGUGGUGAACGCUGGCUAAGGUAGACAUCUGGGGUCAGUGGGGAUUCAGGCUAAACUGACCUGCCAGGAUCGUUGCGAUAAGUCAUCGCCUGGGGGAGGUGGAGGACGAGGAACCAAUCAGAUAGCCCAGGUGAUCAGGUACUUGGGGUGAGCAGGUGUCUGGGGUGACCACAUAUCGAGGGAGGGUCUCUCUGCAGAGGAGGAAGGAUCUUUCUCUGCUCAUCUUGGUUCUUCAGCUGGGGCCCCACACACGAGACUGGCCAAGGACAGAUCAACAAGAGAAAGACACACACAAGUUCAUUAGAAUAGUGUUAGUCCACAGAAGCUUUCAUGACGUUGCACAUGUGCAUGGGGGCAUCCAGUGAUGAUCACCCCAAGAGUGAAUAGAGCUGGGCCUUGUCACCCCUCAUGGGCUGCACAAAGGAAAGGGGUCUGGGCUUGUUUUGAGGGGGAGAAAGUUACAGAAAGGCAGCCAGAAAACCAUGGUGAACAAGGGUGUUUAGUGGGGUUUGUUCAAUGGGCACCCCCUCUGUAAAUGUGAAAUUCCUUUGCAGAAGGAAUGCCUGUGCCCUGUUCUAGAGCUUUCCCUACAUCUGCUAUUUCUUGGUGGCCUUUAACCCAAAGUAAUCCACAUGCCAAAGAGGCACAUUCUGGGGUGGCGUGUUCUGGUGCCCUCACUUCUGCAUUCAGCAGGAUUUUUGCUGAGACUGGGCUGUGCAGGCCCAGCAAGGAUGUGGCCAAGGUCAAGGCCAAGGACUGGGACUGGGUGAGAUAUGGCUGAGGAGAGUCUUGGUCACUUUGUGUGGUCCUGGGCAUGUGCCUGGUGUCUCCAUGGCCUGAUCCCCUCUUCUUAUAAGGACACUUGUCCUAUGGGAUCUGUUACCUCAGAGUAAAGGGGGAUUGUGGUCCUCCUCCCACCCCCCAUGGAAAGAAACAUUCACAUCCUGACCCCAGGGCCUCAGGACAUAAUGUCACUUGGAGUCGGGCCUCGUCCUGUAAGUAGUUAAGACAAGGGCAUUAGGGUGGCU
This 3624-nucleotide long non-coding RNA is filed under the name Sus scrofa (pig). RNAcentral's name for it is "lncRNA (ENSSSCG00000055059.1)". The record is from RNAcentral. Lineage: Eukaryota; Metazoa; Chordata; Mammalia; Artiodactyla; Suidae.